This 451-nucleotide ribosomal RNA is filed under the name uncultured bacterium. RNAcentral describes it as "partial 16S ribosomal RNA". It matches the Rfam family "Bacterial small subunit ribosomal RNA", at positions 29 to 523 of the family's 1533-position model. The record is from RNAcentral.
AACGAACGCUGGCGGCAGGCCUAAUACAUGCAAGCCGAACGGAUGUAGCAAUACAUUAGUGGCGCACGGGUGCCUAACGCGUGGGAACAUACCCUUGAGUAAGGAAUAAUGUCUGGAAACGGACACUAAUACCUUAUAAUGACUUCGGUCCAAAGAUUCAUCGCUCAAGGAUUGGCCCGCGUCUGAUUAGCUAGUUGGUGAGGUGACGGCUCACCAAGGCGACGAUCAGUAGCUGGUCUGAGAGGAUGAUCAGCCACACUGGGACUGAGACACGGCCCAGACUCCUACGGGAGGCAGCAGUAAGGAAUAUUGGACAAUGGGGGAAACCCUGAUCCAGCCAUGCCGCGUGAGUGAAGAAGGCCUUAGGGUUGUAAAGCUCUUUCAAUAGUGAAGAUAAUGACGGUAGCUAUAGAAGAAGCCCCGGCUAAAUUCGUGCCAGCCGCCGCAGUAA